This 102-nucleotide microRNA precursor is filed under the name Choloepus hoffmanni (Hoffmann's two-fingered sloth). RNAcentral describes it as "miRNA (ENSCHOG00000014103.1)". The record is from RNAcentral. Lineage: Eukaryota; Metazoa; Chordata; Mammalia; Pilosa; Megalonychidae.
CUCAGCAAACGCUGAGGACUUCUCGCUGGGGCCUCCAAAUCUUACAGUGCCCACGAGUUAAAGUACGAGACAGCCAAACAGAAUUUAAAGAGCCUUUAUUAG